GACGAACGCUGGCGGCGUGCUUAACACAUGCAAGUCGAGCGGUAAGGCCCCUUCGGGGGGUACACGAGCGGCGAACGGGUGAGUAACACGUGGGUGACCUGCCCUCAGCUCUGGGAUAAGCCUGGGAAACUGGGUCUAAUACCGGAUAUGACUCCAUGACGCAUGUCGUGGGGUGGAAAGCCUUGUGCGGCUGGGGAUGGGCCCGCGGCCUAUCAGCUUGUUGGUGGGGUGANGGCCUACCAAGGCGACGACGGGUAGCCGGCCUGAGAGGGCGACCGGCCACACUGGGACUGAGACACGGCCCAGACUCCUACGGGAGGCAGCAGUGGGGAAUCUUGCGCGAUGGGCGAAAGCCUGACGCAGCGACGCCGCGUGAGGGAUGACGGCCU
Molecule: ribosomal RNA, 389 nt
Filed under: uncultured bacterium
Lineage: Bacteria
Description: bacterial SSU rRNA
Rfam family: Bacterial small subunit ribosomal RNA
Source: RNAcentral